Molecule: long non-coding RNA, 3001 nt
Filed under: Salvia miltiorrhiza (redroot sage)
Lineage: Eukaryota; Viridiplantae; Streptophyta; Magnoliopsida; Lamiales; Lamiaceae
Description: long non-coding RNA (SMIL_LNC008272)
Source: RNAcentral
UUUUUCAUAAGGAAGCAUAAAAUUCAGAGUAUCGCAGCAAAAGGCGAACUGAUUAUAUGUAUGAAGACCUAUAACCGAGAGUACAUUGCUUGAUUCAAAAGAAAACAAAGUAACUCAAUCAUCAAGACUGUAUCGACAAAAUGGAAAUGCGAUAAAGUAAAUACAUCAAGACUGUAUCCCCCACCAGUACCAGACCAAUCUCGCUCCUCGCUUAGCCUGCACAUUUAGAAAUACAUGCAGAGCGUGAGUACAUAAUACUCAGUGGGCAAACGCCGAAAAACAAGAAAGGUGCUCUUAGAGCUAUAGGUUUGAAACUUGCCACAUCUCAGCAGUACAUAGGAAUAAAAUAGUGUAAAUGAACCUGUGUAAGCAGUUUUAACAAACAUGACAUCAUAAAGAAACGACUGCAGUCAAAGAUCUCAACAUGUAUGCACCACAUUUACAACUCAUCAAUAUCAAAGGUACUGAGAAGUAGGCCUCCCUCUCAAGUACCGUGACUGGCCGACCUGAAGACGGCUCGCAGUCACCUCUGUGCAUAAAAUCCCGCUUGAGGCAGGACCGAAUUCGUCUCAUCAGUAGAGGGUAACAAACAAGUCAUUAUCAACAAAAAUCGGCUAGUCAAACAGUUCUCAAACAUCAUUUAUCUCAAAACAUUUGUAAACUCAUAACAUCAUCAAAACAGUUUAGAAAGCUCGUUGAUAUUGUAUACUAAAAUAAUUGCCCACCUGAAGUCCUUCGCUCAACUUGGAAAGGAAAACAGGCGACUUACUUCUUCAUCUCGCUCGGGCCUUCAUAUAUCAUCAUCAUCGUCAUCGAAGGUUCAUGUGAUAAAACAAACCUUAGUUAGAACUCGUUACUAAAACCAAUCUCGUCUCAAACUAAUACUUCUCACUCAUCUUCUAUUUACCCAAUAAAUCUCAAUCCCUAGGUUUACUUAACUUCUAAGGAUUCACACGUCCUAUUCUUGACUUAACACUCAACUCGGAUCAAACUCAUAGCAAUAAAGCACAUAAACAAGCAUAAACACAUAAGCAUAUCAAUUCACACAUAGACAUGUCGCAAACAAACUUCAUUCUGCACUGACUCGAUUUAAAAACUUCACCAGACUUGGUACAGAACUCCAAUGGAGUCGUAACCUAUACCAUUCGAAACCUCCUUGAGUCUAAUUUCUUACAAAAAAACGUAGGAUUAAAAACUCCAAGUAGUUUAGGAGAUAUGACUAUUUUACUACAGUCUACCAUAUUCGGCAGUUUUGAGCAAUCGAAAACUUUGAUUUUUGAAAACUAGUAAAUGCUGCCGAAAAUGUCUGAAAUUUGGUGGGUACAUAUCUAAGCCAAUCAUGUCUUAACAAUAAAAAUUUGGUCUCCAAAACGUUAGGGAAAGAUGCCGGAAAAGGUGACUCUAUUGGCUACUCACCGAACAUUUCGGCAGAACGUAUCAGUUUUGGUUUUCCAUUUUAUAAAACUAGUAAACGAAGUCCAAAUGACUUGAAAUUUUACCGGUAUGCUCAAGACUCUCAUGUAAAUGUAUCAUAAACUUUUCAAGGUGUUUGGGUAAAAAAAACCCUUCAAAAUCAGUAGGUCAGUGCGUCACGAAAAAUAUCUCCCAACUCAAUCACACAAGCAAACAUGCUCGACUCUACACUUCAUCAAUAAAAACUUCUUAAAACUCAACUUCAACACUUAUAGCACUUAAAAACAUUCAAGUAUGAACAUAUUACUCAUCACAACUCAAGCUCGACUCUUCUCUUACAUCUCAAACUCAAAUCUCAAGAAAACGUUUCAAGAACGCAUCGUUUUAAUACUCAUCUCAUUUUCAUGCUCAAAAGUACUCAAUCACUCAUAAUUGACCUCAUACAUCACAUAACUCAUUACACAUACAUAGACUCUCUUUUAUCAUGCAAACUAAACUCGGAGAAAACUCACAUAUCAACGUGGACUCUUAAAUAAAGCAUGACAAACGUCCACAUAAUGAUCGUAUAUCAAUUAAACCUCAUUAAACCAAUCAUUGACCUCAUAACACAUGAAAACCUAAAACUUGUGUAAACUAAACUAAGUUAAAAUUUUAUAUAGCUAACAUUUAACCUAACCAAGCAUAAUUAGACUCUAAUAUCAUGCUCAAUUACAUUUAUCCUAAGCCAAUUUACUUAUUUAACACAUAGGCAUGAAAGUCCUAAUUUUGGUUACACUAAACUCUUUGAAAUUUCACAAACACAUAUGAAACUUUAAUCCAAUCAUAGAUCUAUCAAUUUUAACCAUUUAAUCUCACAUAUAAACCAUCAAUUAACAAUUUAGGGCAUAGAUACACAUAUCCCUAAUUUUAUCAAACUAACUCACAUCAAAGUCAUCAAUUAACAUCAUAUCCUCAAUUUAAUCCAUCAAUUAUCAUCUUAGACAUCUCAUAAUCUCAUGCUUAUCAUCAAUUCAUCAUUUCAAACAUCAACUCACAAAUUCCCAAUUUUGGGUAAACUAAACUCAACCAAACUUUGCAUCUCAAGACAUAGCUUUUCAAUUCACACAUCAAUCAUCGUCAAACAUAUCAUAGAUCACAUUUCUCACCCCAAUUUAAGGAAAGAAAAAGAAAAUUUUUUGAAGGGUAAAGACCCACAAUUUCGAAAAUUUCAAAGAAAAAUGGAGAGGGUGAUUUCUUGCUUCAAUCCUCCAAAUAAACUCACAUAUAACAUCAUACAAGCUAGAUCUAUGAAUUUAAAGAUCACUUACCCAAACUUACACCAAAAAAUCAAACUUUCUCUUUCUAACUUUGAAUCUAAACUCCAAGGAUUUUCUUGAAUUCUAGGAGAUAGAGGGUGUUUUGGAUAGAUCUAGAGGUGGAUUUGCUUUUGAUAUGAAUUUAUGAAGCUUCGAAGGUCUUCAUCUAUGGUUGUUAAUGGAGGAGAAGAGAGAGAUGAGGGAGAGAGAGAGAGUGUCGAUUGGUGAGGGUGAGGUAGUGAGAGAAAUUUUCAAGAUUUGUUUUGAUUUGGAUUGUAACGCCCCGCUUUUUA